Molecule: ribosomal RNA, 426 nt
Filed under: uncultured bacterium
Lineage: Bacteria
Description: bacterial SSU rRNA
Rfam family: Bacterial small subunit ribosomal RNA
Source: RNAcentral
GUGGGGGAUAUUGCACAAUGGGGGAAACCCUGAUGCAGCGACGCCGCGUGGAGGAAGAAGGUUUUCGGAUUGUAAACUCCUGUCGUAAGGGACGAUAAUGACGGUACCUUACAAGAAAGCCACGGCUAACUACGUGCCAGCAGCCGCGGUAAAACGUAGGUGGCAAGCGUUGUCCGGAAUUACUGGGUGUAAAGGGAGCGCAGGCGGACCGGCAAGUUGGAAGUGAAAACUAUGGGCUCAACCCAUAAACUGCUUUCAAAACUGCUGGCCUUGAGUAGUGCAGAGGUAGGCGGAAUUCCCGGUGUAGCGGUGGAAUGCGUAGAUAUCGGGAGGAACACCAGUGGCGAAGGCGGCCUACUGGGCACCAACUGACGCUGAGGCUCGAAAGUGUGGGUAGCAAACAGGAUUAGAAACCCUAGUAGUCCC